AUGAUCAAGCAAUUACUUAGUUGAGCAUGAGAAAACUUGAACAUGCUGAGUAUCAGCAAAAACUUAUAGUAAAUAGAAGACAUGUCAGUUUUCAAAUCAAUAGGACAAACAAGCAUCGAACCACGUACUAGGUGGCCACAUAUAGGUAAAAAUAUUGGUAACGAGAUUUACUCUGACAAACAAGCAUCGACCCACGUAGUAGGUGGCCACAUAUAGGUAAAAAUGUUGGUAACGAGAUUUACUCUAAAGGUCGUAACUAAUACUGGGGAACACAGGGCUAAGCAGGUCAAGAAAAGCACAUGAUACAAAUACAAAGGCAUGAGAAAAAGUCAUAGCUAAUAGUAGAGCUCCAGAAAGAUAAAGAGUUGGGCAUGAAUAUCUCAACAUGAAUUAGAACACAUUCUAGGCAUGAGUUGGUUAUCAUAAAAGUACAAAACAAGGCAAUGAACCAACUUAGAAUAAGCAACAGGUACAAGCAACCAACUAUUCAUAAACAUGAUGAUUAGAAAUUAUUCAAGU
This 519-nucleotide long non-coding RNA is filed under the name Nicotiana benthamiana. RNAcentral's name for it is "long non-coding RNA (NBEN_LNC021903)". Lineage: Eukaryota; Viridiplantae; Streptophyta; Magnoliopsida; Solanales; Solanaceae. The record is from RNAcentral.